AACGAACGCUGGCGGCAUGCCUAACACAUGCGAGUCGAACGAGACCUUCGGGUCUAGGGGCGCACGGGUGCGUAACGCGUGGGAACCUGCCCUUAGGUUCGGAAUAACUCCCCGAAAGGGGUGCUAAUACCGGAUAAUGUCUUCGGACCAAAGAUUUAUCGCCUUUGGAUGGGCCCGCGUUGGAUUAGCUAGUUGGUAGGGUAAAAGCCUACCAAGGCGACGAUCCAUAGCUGGUCUGAGAGGAUGAUCGGCCACACUGGGACUGAGACACGGCCCAGACUCCUACGGGAGGCAGCAGUGGGGAAUAUUGGACAAUGGGCGAAAGCCUGAUCCAGCAAUGCCGCGUGAGUGAUGAAGGCCUUAGGGUUGUAAAGCUCUUUUACCCGGGAUGAUAAUGACAGUACCGGGAGAAUAAGCUCCGGCUAACUCCGUG
Molecule: ribosomal RNA, 433 nt
Filed under: uncultured bacterium
Lineage: Bacteria
Description: partial 16S ribosomal RNA
Rfam family: Bacterial small subunit ribosomal RNA
Source: RNAcentral